GAAACUUUCCCCAAUAUUUCGGGAUUUCUUAAAUCGAUGUUUGGAAAUGGAUGUGGAAAAAAGGGGUUCAGCCAAAGAAUUAUUACAGCAUCCUUUCCUGAAACUGGCCAAACCGUUAUCUAGCUUGACACCACUGAUCAUGGCAGCUAAAGAAGCAAUGAAGAGUAACCGUUAACAUCACUGCUGUGGCCUCAUACUCUUUUUUCCAUUUUCUACAAGAAGCCUUUUAGUAUAUGAAAAUUAUUACUCUUUUUGGGGUUUAAAGAAAUGGUCUGCAUAACCUGAAUGAAAGAAGCAAAUGACUAUUCUCUGAAGACAACCAAGAGAAAAUUGCAAAAAGACAAGUAUGACUUUUAUAUGAACCCCUUCUUUAGGGUCCAGAAGGAAUUGUGGACUGAAUCACUAGCCUUAGGUCUUUCAGCAAACAGCCUAUCAGGGCCAUUUAUCAUGUGUGAGAUUUGCAUUUUACUUUGCUGACUUUGUUGUAAUAGAUCCCAUUCAUUGUCCCCUUUGGGGUAUUUCCAAUACUUGAAUGGCAGAUUGGAGUUUUUCAGAGUAUGUGUUUCAUCUGCUAGUCUUUCUCUCCUUCAUAGCUUUUCUUUUCCUGGACUUGCUCCUUUUGAGUUGCUUUUGCGUUUCUCAUGCCUAGGCAAGUGUAAUAGAAAUUAUGUAGCUCCUUAUGUUGGCAAAGGAGCUCUAUAUAGUUUCACUUUGUAUAAAAGUUAGGACCAGCUGUUGUUACAUGUAAUAUUUUAGUUCAGAACUUGACCUGAAGGAAGGGAAGAAAAGUAUGUGAUUUUUACCUUUUUUAACAAAUGUGAAAAAGUCAGUUUUAGAAAUUUCGUGGUAGUAAGUUCGGCAUUUGUUACAUGUAUAGAGAGAAGACUAAUAAUCUCUAUUUAUAACUAAAUCAUUGAGAUAGAAAAAGAUUCCCAUUGACUGUAGACUUCUUCCCAUUUUGUCUUCCCUUCUGCCUGUUUCCCCUUCAGGCUUGGCUCUAGGAACCAAAGUGAUUUGUUGUUGUUCCAACCUGGGCUUUGUGACUUUGGUUAGUGCCACUACCUUCUUCCCUCCUUUCCCCCUUCAAUUUGGAAAUAAAUUUCUGUAUAUGUUGC
This 1115-nucleotide long non-coding RNA is filed under the name Homo sapiens (human). RNAcentral's name for it is "HSALNT0067432". The record is from RNAcentral. Lineage: Eukaryota; Metazoa; Chordata; Mammalia; Primates; Hominidae.